UAAACGGUGGGCGCUAGUUGUGCGAACCUUCCACGGUUUGUGCGACGCAGCUAACGCAUUAAGCGCCCCGCCUGGGGAGUACGAUCGCAAGAUUAAAACUCAAAGGAAUUGACGGGGCCCCGCACAAGCAGCGGAGCAUGCGGCUUAAUUCGACGCAACGCGAAGAACCUUACCAAGGCUUGACAUAUACAGGAAUACGGCAGAGAUGUCGUAGCCGCAAGGUCUGUAUACAGGUGGUGCAUGGUUGCCGUCAGCUCGUGUCGUGAGAUGUUGGGUUAAGUCCCGCAACGAGCGCAACCCUCGUUCUGUGUUGCCAGCAUUUAGUUGGGGACUCACAGGAGACUGCCGGGGUUAACUCGGAGGAAGGUGGGGAUGACGUCAAAUCAUCAUGCCCCUUAUGUCUUGGGCUGCACGCAUGCUACAAUGGCUGGUACAAACGGCUGCAAUACCGCAAGGUGGAGCGAAUCCGAGAAAGCCAGUCUCAGUUCGGAUUGGGGUCUGCAACUCGACCCCAUGAAGUCGGAGUUGCUAGUAAUCGUAGAUCAGCAACGCUACGGUGAAUACGUUCCCGGGGCUUGUACACACCGCCCGUCACAUCACGAAAGUCGGUAACACCCAAAAGUCAGUGGCCCAACCGUAAGGAGGGAGCUGCCAAAGGUGG
This 661-nucleotide ribosomal RNA is filed under the name uncultured Actinomycetes bacterium. RNAcentral describes it as "bacterial SSU rRNA". It matches the Rfam family "Bacterial small subunit ribosomal RNA", at positions 803 to 1465 of the family's 1533-position model. Lineage: Bacteria; Bacillati; Actinomycetota; Actinomycetes. The record is from RNAcentral.